This 77-nucleotide transfer RNA is filed under the name Corynebacterium pseudotuberculosis. Its description in RNAcentral is "tRNA-Pro". The stretch from base 1 to 54 matches the Rfam family "tRNA", at positions 19 to 71 of the family's 71-position model. Rfam says of the family: Transfer RNA (tRNA) molecules are approximately 80 nucleotides in length. The record is from RNAcentral. Lineage: Bacteria; Bacillati; Actinomycetota; Actinomycetes; Mycobacteriales; Corynebacteriaceae.
UAGCGCGCUUCGUUCGGGACGAAGAGGUCGCAGGUUCAAAUCCUGUUAUCCCGACCAUUGAGAUAAGCUGGGACAUG